GGGUCCCGGCCCCGCUGCUCGGUGCGCGGCGGCGGCGGCACCGGGAGCGGCGGCGGCGGCUGGGGCGCGUCGGCCCCGCAGCUGCGGCUCGUUGCGCUCCGCUCGGCCCCGCUCCGCCCGGCCCGGCCCUUAACAGCGGCGCGGUCCCGGGACGCCGCAUGUGAGCCGGGAGGGCAGCGCCGCCCCGCACCGCCCUGCACCGCCCCCGCGCACCGGCACCGCACCGGCACCCCUGGCCCGGCCCCGCGGAGCUCCGGAGCAGCCGGCACCACUACCCUAACCGACCCCGGCACCCCCACCAUGAGCAACCUCAACAAGGACACCGAGCACACCAACGGCAGCGGCAACGUCGAGGAGGAGGUCCGGACGCUGUUUGUCAGUGGACUUCCUGUGGAUAUUAAGCCCAGAGAGCUCUACCUACUCUUCCGACCAUUCAAGGGUUAUGAAGGGUCACUGAUCAAGCUCACUUCAAAGCAGCCAGUUGGUUUUGUGACCUUUGACAGCCGUGCUGGUGCUGAAGCAGCAAAGAAUGCCUUGAAUGGCAUCCGCUUCGACCCAGAGAACCCCCAGACCUUGCGGUUAGAGUUUGCUAAAGCCAACACAAAGAUGGCCAAGAGCAAGCUGAUGGCCACACCAAACCCCACCAACAUCCACCCUGCCUUGGGCGCACACUUCAUUGCACGGGACCCCUAUGACCUGACUGGAGCGGCUCUUAUCCCAGCCUCCCCAGAAGCGUGGGCUCCCUACCCGCUCUACACCACGGAGCUGACCCCCGCCAUCCCCCAUGCCGCCUUCACCUACCCGGCGGCCGCCGCCGCGGCUGCUGCUCUUCACGCUCAGUGAACUCCAGCCAUGAUGCCAGCGCAGGCUAGCCCCGAAGCUCAGAGCUGUCCCCGGAGAUGGGACGCCCUAGUGAUGCCUUAUUGCAGCUAGUGGAGUGGCUGUCCCACAGCUCCAUUCCUAGAAGUGUUAAGCAUGAUGGCAGCCACGUCUGGAAAGACUGGUAAGAUGCGUUGGUAUCCUCCCUCCGAAGCUACCCAGCAAGGAUGGAAGUCUCGUCAGUUUUGUUAGUUUGUUAGUAACGUCUCUCCUCGGCUCGCGCUCCUCCUCCCUGCCCCUUGGCCGAGGGAUGUGCCAGGGAUGACGGCUCCAAGUCUUCUCGCUUCGGUUUGCGGACAAGGCGCCGGGCCCCGCCGCACUCCCCCCGGGGCUGCUGGCGUCCCCCUCCCCGGACUGUGAAGCCACCGCGGCCCAACGCCACAGGCCGUGCGCCGCCUCCAUCCCUCCACCCUGCGUCCAUCCCCGCAUCCCUCCGUCCCCAGGACCUCCUCCCCGACCGAGCUUCGCCGUCCGGCUGUGCCGAAACCCGGCCAGGGGCGCUCGGUCCUGGGCUUCCCCGGGCUCGCCCUGCCCCAGCGGCUCGGCUGAAGGCAAUGAAAGGCAAAUGGGUUUUGCAUGUUUUCUGGCAUGAAUUAAAACACUUAACUUGUGUCCGUGUGAGUGUAAGUUUGUUUGUUCUAGCGUUUGUGUAACCGUUAGCAACAGGUCUUGGCCCAACGGAUUGAUCCAUCAAGGUUUUCAUCUUGCUUCGGUGAAGACUUGGCUUUGAGAAAUACUAACUGUCCUUGUCUCACCCCUUCUCCCACCUCCGCCCUCCCCAUCCCAGUACAACCAGAAGAAUUUGAAAAAUGGGUUUUUUGUUGUUUUUUUUUUUUAAGUAUGAUGCACUGGGUUUCUGUUCUCAUCCAUUCUUCUCCAGUUUUAAAGUCAGGGUUAUUAUAUUAAUUUUCUCUUCUUCUUCAGACUUCUAUAUAUAGAAUGGCUGUAGAAUACCUAACUUUUUGUUCUUUUAAUUUCCACCUCCUUCUGAUUGGAGAGCAUCCAGUCCUGCCAAAUAAUCAGCCAUCCUUAUGGGAAUACCGAACAAAAAAAGAAGUACGAGUAUUUUUGUACCAUGUGUAAUAAGGAAAUAUUUAUGCAUCAUAAAGACUUUGUGUGUUUGUGUGCAAUUAAUUAUUAUUAUUAUUAUUAUUAAAGAUAAAUUGUAAUCCUGUAAGAUAAGUUAAUGUUUAGUUAAAAGCUUGAAAGAGAAGGGUUGUCUUCUGUACCAAUGAUUCAGUCAGGCAUAGUAAAUGAGAAAUUGUGCAAUUUUUGUUUUAGCAUCUUAUUGCUUGGUAUUGAAGUGCUUUAAGUAUUAUAUGACCAUGGCUGUCUCGCUUGUAUUAAAAGAUUUGAGAGUAAGUUGCUAUAUAAUUGCUGAUCCUAUGAGAAUGUGAAACUGGAUAAUAUAUGAAAUGCAACAAAAAAAAAAGAAAAAAAUAUACCCAGAGGCUGCUGUGACUCUU
Columba livia (rock pigeon) is the source of this 2345-nucleotide RNA transcript. It is a transcript of the gene named RNA binding protein, mRNA processing factor 2, with no coding region annotated. The transcript is spliced from 9 exons. The record is from RefSeq and is a predicted model, not a curated record. NCBI's taxonomy places the organism in Eukaryota, Metazoa, Chordata, Aves, Columbiformes, Columbidae.